ACACGACUACAUUAGAUACCCGUGUAGUCCUAGCCGUAAACGAUACUCGCUAGGUGUCGGCCACGGUGCGACCGUUGUCGGUGCCGUAGGGAAGCCGUGAAGCGAGCCACCUGGGAAGUACGGCCGCAAGGCUGAAACUUAAAGGAUUGGCGGGGAGCACCACAACGGGUGGAGCUUGCGGUUUAAUUGGAUUCAACGCCGGAAAUCUUACCGGGACCGACAGCAACAUGAAGGCCAAGCUGAAGACUUUGCCGGAUUAGCUG
This 263-nucleotide ribosomal RNA is filed under the name uncultured archaeon. RNAcentral describes it as "partial 16S ribosomal RNA". It matches the Rfam family "Archaeal small subunit ribosomal RNA", at positions 719 to 982 of the family's 1478-position model. The record is from RNAcentral.